AGGUGCACUUAGCUGUGCUUAAUUGGGAACGUGAGUGUGAAUCUCCGACUGUCCCGCAGCUGUGAACUCCGUUAUUGCCUUGAAGCAUGACAAGCCAUUGCCCGUUUGGGCGAGAAGGCGCUUCAGGGUGGAGGAAAGUCAGAAGACCAGCCUUCCCA
Molecule: non-coding RNA, 158 nt
Filed under: uncultured Prevotella sp.
Lineage: Bacteria; Pseudomonadati; Bacteroidota; Bacteroidia; Bacteroidales; Prevotellaceae
Source: RNAcentral